GAUGAACGCUGGCGGCGUGCCUAAUACAUGCAAGUCGAGCGAACGGACGAGAAGCUUGCUUCUCUGAUGUUAGCGGCGGACGGGUGAGUAACACGUGGAUAACCUACCUAUAAGACUGGGAUAACUUCGGGAAACCGGAGCUAAUACCGGAUAAUAUUUUGAACCGCAUGGUUCAAAAGUGAAAGACGGUCUUGCUGUCACUUAUAGAUGGAUCCGCGCUGCAUUAGCUAGUUGGUAAGGUAACGGCUUACCAAGGCAACGAUGCAUAGCCGACCUGAGAGGGUGAGCGGCCACAAUGGAACUGAGACACGGUCCAGACUCCUACGGGAGGCAGCAGUAGGGAAUCUUCCGCAAUGGGCGAAAGCCUGACGGAGCAACGCCGCGUGAGUGAUGAAGGUCUUCGGAUCGUAAAACUCUGUUAUUAGGGAAGAACAUAUGUGUAAGUAACUGUGCACAUCUUGACGGUACCUAAUCAGAAAGCCACGGCUAACUACGUG
RNAcentral lists this ribosomal RNA (497 nucleotides) under uncultured bacterium. RNAcentral's name for it is "partial 16S ribosomal RNA". It matches the Rfam family "Bacterial small subunit ribosomal RNA", at positions 28 to 507 of the family's 1533-position model. The record is from RNAcentral.